This 305-nucleotide ribosomal RNA is filed under the name uncultured bacterium. Its description in RNAcentral is "bacterial SSU rRNA". It matches the Rfam family "Bacterial small subunit ribosomal RNA", at positions 333 to 655 of the family's 1533-position model. The record is from RNAcentral.
UGGCUCCUACGGGACGCAGCAGUAGGGAAUCUUCCACAAUGGACGAAAGCCUGAUGCAGCAACGCCGCGUGAGUGAAGAAGUAUUUCGGUAUGUAAAGCUCUAUCAGCAGGGAAGAAGAUGACGGUACCUGAUUAAGAAGCCCCGGCUAACUACGUGCCAGCAGCCGCGGUAAUACGUAGGGGGCAAGCGUUAUCCGGAUUUACUGGGUGUAAAGGGAGCGCAGACGGCAGUGCAAGUCUGGAGUGAAAGCCCGGGGCCCAACCCCGGAACUGCUCUGGAAACUGUGCGGCUAGAGUACUGGAGG